UGCAUGAGGUUGGAAUCGCUAGUAAUCGCGGAUCAGCAUGCCGCGGUGAAUACGUUCCCGGGCCUUGUACACACCGCCCGUCACACCAUGAGAGUCGGAACACCCGAAGUCCGUAGCCUGACCGCAAGGGGGGCGCGGCCGAAGGUGGGUUCGAUAAUUGGGGUGAAGUCGUAACAAGGUAUC
RNAcentral lists this ribosomal RNA (183 nucleotides) under uncultured bacterium. Its description in RNAcentral is "partial 16S ribosomal RNA". It matches the Rfam family "Bacterial small subunit ribosomal RNA", at positions 1317 to 1500 of the family's 1533-position model. The record is from RNAcentral.